This 252-nucleotide ribosomal RNA is filed under the name uncultured bacterium. RNAcentral describes it as "partial 16S ribosomal RNA". It matches the Rfam family "Bacterial small subunit ribosomal RNA", at positions 524 to 776 of the family's 1533-position model. The record is from RNAcentral.
UACGUAGGGUGCGAGCGUUGUCCGGAAUUAUUGGGCGUAAAGGGCUCGUAGGCGGUUUGUUGCGUCGGGAGUGAAACUCAGGGCUUAACCCUGAGCCUGCUUCCGAUACGGGCAGACUAGAGGUAUGCAGGGGAGAACGGAAUUCCUGGUGUAGCGGUGAAAUGCGCAGAUAUCAGGAGGAACACCGGUGGCGAAGGCGGUUCUCUGGGCAUUACCUGACGCUGAGGAGCGAAAGUGUGGGGAGCGAACAGG